This 78-nucleotide transfer RNA is filed under the name Bacteroidales bacterium. RNAcentral's name for it is "tRNA-Val". It matches the Rfam family "tRNA". From Rfam's summary of the family: Transfer RNA (tRNA) molecules are approximately 80 nucleotides in length. Their secondary structure includes four short double-helical elements and three loops (D, anti-codon, and T loops). Further hydrogen bonds mediate the characteristic L-shaped molecular structure. tRNAs have two regions of fundamental functional importance: the anti-codon, which is responsible for specific mRNA codon recognition, and the 3' end, to which the tRNAs corresponding amino acid is attached (by aminoacyl-tRNA synthetases). tRNAs cope with the degeneracy of the genetic code in two manners: having more than one tRNA (with a specific anti-codon) for a particular amino acid; and 'wobble' base-pairing, i.e. permitting non-standard base-pairing at the 3rd anti-codon position. The record is from RNAcentral. RNAcentral also lists the same sequence under 2 other names. Lineage: Bacteria; Pseudomonadati; Bacteroidota; Bacteroidia; Bacteroidales.
GGGCGCUUAGCGCAGCUGGUUCAGAGCAUCUGCCUUACAAGCAGAGGGUCGGCGGUUCGAAUCCGUCAGCGCCCACCA